GACGAACGCUGGCGGCGUGCUUAACACAUGCAAGUCGAACGCUGAAGCUUGGUGCUUGCACUGGGUGGAUGAGUGGCGAACGGGUGAGUAAUACGUGAGUAACCUGCCCUUGACUCUGGGAUAAGCCUGGGAAACUGGGUCUAAUACUGGAUACGACAUGCCACUGCAUGGUGGUGUGUGGAAAGGGUUUUACUGGUUUUGGAUGGGCUCACGGCCUAUCAGCUUGUUGGUGGGGUAAUGGCCUACCAAGGCGACGACGGGUAGCCGGCCUGAGAGGGUGACCGGCCACACUGGGACUGAGACACGGCCCAGACUCCUACGGGAGGCAGCAGUGGGGAAUAUUGCACAAUGGGCGGAAGCCUGAUGCAGCGACGCCGCGUGAGGGAUGACGGCCUUCGGGUUGUAAACCUCUUUCAGCACGGAAGAAGCGAGAGUGACGGUACGUGCAGAAGAAGCGCCGGCUAACUGCGUG
Molecule: ribosomal RNA, 472 nt
Filed under: uncultured bacterium
Lineage: Bacteria
Description: partial 16S ribosomal RNA
Rfam family: Bacterial small subunit ribosomal RNA
Source: RNAcentral